CGCAAACGCUGUCUCGGCCGGUGUGGAGAGGCCGGCCACACCGGACCGCUCUGUGAGGCGUAUAGUAAAAGUGCAAUUGAGUGUGCAAGUGGCGGAUGUUGCUGUCUCCAGUUGCCGGCGGUUGCUGCUUCAAGCUUUUGUAUCAGUUUUGUAAAUCCCCGAAACUGUGUCUACAGUUCGUGUUUCUGUGUCCAGUUGGUGUCUCUCCAAGUCCAGCUUCAGCUAAACCCAAAGAGCAAAUGUGGAGCACACUGAUGCUACCCAUGUGUAGUGUCACAUUGAAGCUGCUAAUGUCACGGUAGCCAGGAAACAAUGCCCUGCAGAAAAGAGCCGACCACGACAGGUGAAGACUGGAUUGGAAAGGGCAAAUUGGAGGUAAGCAGCGGAUGGUGUAUUUCCAUUGUUUGUGUGGAUCACUAACUAUCAGU
RNAcentral lists this long non-coding RNA (428 nucleotides) under Fukomys damarensis (Damara mole-rat). Its description in RNAcentral is "lncRNA (ENSFDAG00000025026.1)". Lineage: Eukaryota; Metazoa; Chordata; Mammalia; Rodentia; Bathyergidae. The record is from RNAcentral.